This is a non-coding RNA of Danio rerio (zebrafish), 1034 nucleotides long. NCBI's taxonomy places the organism in Eukaryota, Metazoa, Chordata, Actinopteri, Cypriniformes, Danionidae. The record is from Ensembl.
ACGUGCUAACUGCCCGGUGCUACGUGAGUCAGAGGCCGGGGUGGAGUGCAUGAGCCGCGGUCAGACAGUCACCAAUCACCGGGCGGCUAAAUGGAUCGACGGAGGAUAAAACCAUUAAAAGAUGCGGAGAAACACAUCACCAGCUCCACUGACAAGACCCAUUCACUGGAAACCGAAUAUAUAGAAGGUUACUAAGUUUUGCAGCAUUGAUGCCGAUCAUGAGGACGAUCUGCACCCUAACUGCACUGUCAAUAAGAUCGUUGUUCAGAGAAAACCUCAUUUGUGCCUUUUUGCAAUCAGGGAUAUUUUCUUUGGAGAGGAAAUAACGUUUGACUAUGGCGCAUGUGAUUGGCCUUGGAGAAAGCUUUCAUUGAAGGAUGCCCAUAUGACUGCAGAAGAAAACUGCUCCGACAACUCUCUGAUGAGCUUUCAUUGAAGUAUGAUCAUAUGACGAGAAGAAGACAACUGCUCUGCUCCAGUAGGAGACCCACAACCCUCUGAUGAGCUUAUAUUGAAGGAUGACCAUAUGACAGAGGAAGAGAACUGCUCUGCUCCAGUACGUGACCCACAACUCUGAUGAGGUUUGCUGAAGUAUGACCGUAUGACAGAAGGAGAGAACAGCUCUGCUCCAGUACGAGACCCACAACUCUGAUGAGCUUAUAUUGAAGGAUGACCAUAUGACAGAGGAAGAGAACUGCUCUGCUCCAGUACGAGACUCACAACUCUCUGAUGAGCUUUUAUAGAAGGAUGACCAUAUGACAGAGGAAGAGAACUGCUCUGAUCCAGUAGGAGACCCACAACUCUGAUGAGCUUUGAUUGAAGGAUGACCAUAUGACAGAGAAAGAGAACUGCUCUGCUCCAGUACGUGACCCACAACUCUCUGAUGAGGUGUGAUGGAAGGAUGACCAUAUGACAGAGGAAGAGAACUGCUCUGCUCCAGUAGGAGACCCACAACUCUGAUGAGCUUUUAUUGAAGGAUGACCAUAUGACAGGGGAAGAGAACUGCUCUGCUCCAGUACGUGACCCACAACUCU